AAACUUAAAGGAAUUGACGGGGGCCCGCACAAGCAGUGGAGUAUGUGGUUUAAUUCGAAGCAACGCGAAGAACCUUACCAGGUCUUGACAUCCUGCUAACGAAGUAGAGAUACAUUAGGUGCCCUUCGGGGAAAGCAGAGACAGGUGGUGCAUGGUUGUCGUCAGCUCGUGUCGUGAGAUGUUGGGUUAAGUCCCGCAACGAGCGCAACCCUUGUGUUUAGUUGCUACGAAAGAGCACUCUAAACAGACUGCCGUUGACAAAACGGAGGAAGGUGGGGACGACGUCAAAUCAUCAUGCCCCUUAUGACCUGGGCUACACACGUACUACAAUGGUCGCUAACAGAGGGAAGCAAUACUGCAAAGUGGAGCAAAACCCUAAAAGCGAUCUCAGUUCGGAUUGUAGGCUGCAACUCGCCUACAUGAAGUUGGAAUUGCUAGUAAUCGCGGAUCAGCAUGCCGCGGUGAAUACGUUCCCGGGCCUUGUACACACCGCCCGUCACACCAUGGGAGUCGGUAAUACCCGAAGUCAGUAGUCUAACCGCAAGGAGGACACUGCCGAAGGUAGGAUUGGCGACUGGGGUGAAGUCGUAACAAGGUAGCCGUAUCGGAAGGUGCGGCUGGAUCACCUCCUUUAU
This 635-nucleotide ribosomal RNA is filed under the name uncultured Oscillospiraceae bacterium. RNAcentral's name for it is "bacterial SSU rRNA". It matches the Rfam family "Bacterial small subunit ribosomal RNA", at positions 897 to 1533 of the family's 1533-position model. Lineage: Bacteria; Bacillati; Bacillota; Clostridia; Eubacteriales; Oscillospiraceae. The record is from RNAcentral.